RNAcentral lists this ribosomal RNA (241 nucleotides) under uncultured bacterium. Its description in RNAcentral is "partial 16S ribosomal RNA". It matches the Rfam family "Bacterial small subunit ribosomal RNA", at positions 524 to 765 of the family's 1533-position model. The record is from RNAcentral.
UACGUAGGGUGCAAGCGUUAAUCGGAAUUACUGGGCGUAAAGCGUGCGCAGGCGGUGAUGUAAGACAGAUGUGAAAUCCCCGGGCUUAACCUGGGAACUGCAUUUGUGACUGGCAAGCUAGAGUAUGGCAGAGGGGGUAGAAUUCCACGUGUAGCAGUGAAAUGCGUAGAGAUGUGGAGGAAUACCGAUGGCGAAGGCAGCCCCCUGGGCCAAUACUGACGCUCAUGCACGAAAGGCGUGG